Molecule: long non-coding RNA, 360 nt
Organism: Caretta caretta (loggerhead turtle)
Lineage: Eukaryota; Metazoa; Chordata; Testudines; Cheloniidae
Source: RefSeq, a predicted model, not a curated record
AGUAUAAAAAGGGCAAAAGCAAUUCAGGCUGCCUCCUUUCACUACUGUCCACUAGGAUUUCAGCAGAUACUCUAUAAGGGCAUGGCUGGGUUUGUUAAGUCCAGAGAAAGAACUUUCAAGAACCAGCAAAGUAAACAUGUCAAAACUACAAAUUCUAAAGAGCUAGCCCAUCUGGGCAGAGCAACAAGAUUACAAUCAAGAAUGAUGCAGAAAAGGGAAACCGUCCUGGUGUGAUGAGCUCCUAAGCCUGAAAAAUGAAGAUUUAUGCUGGAAAGCCUGGCAGACCCUAAAAUGGAGCAUUGCAAGGCAUGGGAAUGUAAUAAUGUAAGCUCAUCCCUAAUAAAACCAACUUAACAGUUA